GAAUUAACAGUCACUAUUAGUAGCUGGGAAAGGGGAAUGUUUGAUCAUAUUAUGGUUUGAACAGUGUUCUGUUUGUGCUCAAAUAUGAUUGUGAAAUAGUCUUUCUUUCAUCUUGGUGAGAGGGUAGCUUUGUCUGAUAUUGGUGUUGUGAAAUUUUUAGUUUGAACCGGAGAACAUCAUGGCCUAGGUGUUUAUCAGACCAGCUCUAGCUGAGAGCAGAAAAGGGUUACUUCUUCUUUCUCAGAAACGACUAUGGAAAACAGUAGGCCGGGCGCAGUGGCUCACUCCUGUAAUCCCUGCACUUUCGGAGCCCGAGGCGGGCGGAUCACGAGGUCAGGAGUUCGAGACCAGCCUGGCCAAUAUGGUGAAACCCCGUCUCUACUAAAAAUACAAAAAUUAGCUGGCCAUAGUGGUGUAUGCCUGUAGUCCCAGCUACUUGGGAGGCUAAGGCAGAAGAAUCGCUUGAACCUAGGAGGCAGAGGUUGCAGUGAACCGAGAUUGUGCCACUGCACUCCAGCCUGGGCAACAGAGCGAGACUCCGUCUCAAAAAAAAAAAAAGACUAUAGGAAAACAGUAAACAACAAGGGCCGGGCGCGGUGGUUCACGCCUGUAAUCCCAGCACUUUGCAAAGCCGAGGGAGGCGGAUCACUUGAGGUCAGGAGUUUGAAACUGUAGCAGGAGAGGUCGUAGACAAAAUCCCUCAGACACCGGACUGUGGAAGGAACUUCCAUGGAACUUGAGCCUUCGCACAGCGUAUUUUGGCAUCGAAUUUAAAGCUAGUAGAGGUCCGGAAGAUUCCCAGGAUUAAAGUCUUUAAACAGAAAGCGUGAAUCUUGCCUAAGUAAAAGGUACCAUCUCUGGGUGGGCUUGAACCACCAGCCUUUCGGUUCAAACAGCCGAACGCACUAACCUAUUGCGCCACAGAGACUCUAAUGGUUUAGAUUUGCUGAUACCAGAAAUGGCAUUUUAACCUCUGGCGGUAGAUAAUCUCAUAUGUUUGUAGCCUGUCCAAUCCCGCGCACUCCAGAAACCCAGAACACGGGAGACAUUGAAGCCAAGAGUCGAGUCUUUGGGCACGUUUGGACAUUCUACCCGGGCAGAAGUCAGCUGGGGGACUCCAACGGCCAAACGGCCGCCUGCUCCUCACCGUCUGCUCUUCACUGCUUCCCCCGCCUGCUCUUCACCGUCUCAAAAGUCGCCGGCCCCUCUACAGGCGACAACUGCAGCUUCUCAGGCGGAAGUCACUCGCUUUCCCAUUCUUAGCCCCGCUUCACACCUUGAGCUCACAGUCAUUUCCGCCGGGCCUGGGCUAGCGGACGCGCGCGUGGGAAGGACCAGAACCCGUGGUGUCCUCACCGCGUCGCCCUCGGGCCCUCAGAGGUGGGAUCCACCGGACAGGGACCUGGAGUUUGCACAGGCUGCAGCCCUUCGCCCAGAGCCAGCCUAGCACCUGGUAGGUGCCCAAUAAAUGCUCGGUGAAGGAAGGCAUUCCACCGCAGGGUUUUAGGAGAACCAUGAAUUCCUGUGUGAACGUUAAGCGUUUAGUCCUACUAGGAAGUCUGGAAUAUGGAGACCUGAACUGUUUCUCAAAGGCAGCUGUUCUUGUAUCCCCAGAGCCGGUUUAGAAUCCAGCAAAGGCCCCUGCCCGGUGGAUCCCACCUCUGGAGACCCGAGGAUAGUGCGGUGGGGGGCACCGCGGGUUCUUGUCCUUCCCACGCUCACGUCCACUGGCCCAGGCCCAAAGGAACUGGCUGUGAGUACAAGAUGUGAAGAUAGUUACAAAUACCAGCUAGUGCCAGUGCCAGUUGCAGAAAUCAGGACUUGUAAUAGUUAUGAGUAUUUCUUCAUUAUUUUGAGAUGAAUACAUUUGGGUGUCUAUUAACCAAAACUUUUCUUGAGAAUUCUCCUCUUCCAUCACCCUAGCUAGCACAUUCAUUAAUAAUUAACUUUUAGAAAUCUCAAUAUUUAGGUUACAGGAAAGCAAAUAUGGAAUGUGAUCUAUCUAGCUAAAAAAGGAGUGAAUAUCAUUCAAAGACAAAGACUUUAUCCUGUUGGGGAAAGGGUUGGCAUAUUUUCACUGAAUGAGAAAAAGUAUGAUUUUCAUAUUGUCUUUAUUUGAACCUUAAGUAUGAUUUUACAAGGAGGAAAAAGGAGGAGGAAGAAGCGAAAGAAGAGGAAGAGGAGGAAAAAAGAAGAGGAGGAAGGUGUACAUUGAUGCCACUUUGAGAAGAAGUGGACUGUGGUGGAUUUGUAAUGCAUCAGUUUGGCCAAGCUGAAUGCACAUUUCCCAGAUUUGCCAUCUUUAGAUAGCUCUAGGUUAGCCUGGGCAACAGGAGACACUUGGAAGAUAGAAUUCAAGUGGCUAUUACACACUUUUGUAUGCUGGGAAGGGCGGUGUUACAGCUCAGGCAUGAUCUUCAGCUUCCCUGACCCUUGGACUGGUGGGUGUUUUGCUUCUUGAUCUAACAUUAAGGUUAGAAGUUGCAGGAUUCCAGCUGGGUUUUGCUACAUCCAAUCUGGUUUAAGUUCUCAUAUUAUUAGGAAAGCUUUAGGGUGCUUCAGGAAAACGCUUUUUAAAAAAUCAAAUUUGGAAAAUAUCAAAUGGAAUUAUAGGCAAUAAGCAUAACCCAGUGGAACCAUGAAUCAAACCCUCUGGAGCAGGGUUGUCUAAAUUUUGGCUUCCUUGGGCCACACUGGAAAAAAAAAGACACUUGUCUUGGGCCAAACAUAAUAUACACUAAUCGCAAUUGAACUGUACCUGUAAAGCUUGUAAACAAAAUGUGUCUGUAAAGUCUGUAAACAGGCCAGGUGCGGUGGCUCAGGCCUGUAAUCCCAACGCUUUGGGAGGCCGCGAGGCAGGCGGAAAACUUGAGGUCAGGAGUUCAAGACCAGCGUGGCCAACAUGGUGAAACCCUGUCACUCUUUUUUUUUUUUUUUUCGAGACGGAGUCUCGCUCUGUCGCCCAGGCUGGAGUGCAGUGGUGCGAUCUCAGCUCACUGCAACCUCUGCCUCCCGGGUUCAAGCGAUUUUUUUGCCUCAGCCUCCUGAGUAGCUGGGACUACAGGCACGUGCCACCACGCCCGGCUAAUUUUUUUUUUUUUUUUUUUUUUUUUGUAUUUUUAUUAGAGAUGGGGUUUCACUGUGUUAGCCAGGAUGGUCUUGACCUCCUGACCUCAUGAUCCACCCGCCUCCGCCUCCCAAAGUGCUGGGAUUACAGGCGCGAGCCAGUGCGCCCGGCCCGGUGAAACCAUGUCUCUACUAAAAAUUCAAAAAAUUAGCCGGACCUAAUUUUUUGGUUGCCUGAGCCUGUAAUGCCAGUUACUCGGGAGGCUGAGUAUUCUCUGGUUGAGGAAGGAGAAUAGCUUGAACGCAGGAGGCAGAGGUUGCAGUAAGGCGAGAUCGCGCCAUACACUCCAGCAGACUGUUUGCUGUUAAUCCCAUAGGGAAAAGAAAAGCUUAGUUUUAUUUCUAUAGAACAACAACAAAAAAGGCUAAGAGAUUAGUAGAGACGGGUUCACCAUAUUUGCCCACACACGCCUGAGGUCGAGCGAUAUUAACAUAAACAUAACCUAUCGACGUACCUCAUAGAUUGCUGGGAUUACAAACGUGAGAACCACUAUGUUCCAAAUUUUUAGUUUCAGUGAAGUUACAGAUGGGAACAAAGACCUGAUUUUCAGCUUAUGCUGACGCCUAGUAUGCGUUUCUGCAGCAAACAAAACCUACUUUUAAAACGACAAAAAUGCAGGGGAAAGCGCGAACGCAGUCCACCACUACCACAAAUCAUACAGUCGAGUUUCCCGCAUUUGGAGAAACUGCAGAGGUCAGCACAUCCGGAGUGCAAUGGAUAAGCCUCGCUCUGGAAAAAACCACCUUCGUGACCAUGGUAUCUCUCCUGCCGGGUCCGACCAGCGGUCCUGAACCCGCUCCCACGGCACGGGAACUCCUUCGUGGCGAAGCAGCAUGUGGCGAAGCAGCAGCCCCUGCGCUGGCUCAUCUACAUAGAAGUCGCCCUAUCCGUGAUGUCACCGACAGUGCCUUUCCCAGUCCCCGUCUGCCUUUCUGCCGCUCAGCCGACCAACCCGCUGCCGGAGCCGGCAAGGGGAAGUGACGUCUGCCUUUCCCUUUUUUCUCUUCUGCUUCCCUCAUCUGUUCUCUUCCAAAGAAGCUGGUCCUUAGCCUGUAUUGCGGAGCAAGCUUUCGGCGACCAGCUGGACCCUGGGCACCCUUCUUCGAACAAUGGCUUUUAAUUCUCAGACUAGAACGUUUAGGAUUACAAAAGAAACUGGUUCUUUUCACCUCCUUAUUCUUGUGAUGUAGCAUUCCGCAUAUAUAUAUAUAUAUAUAUAUAUAUAUAUAUAUAUAUCCAACUAUCCUAAAAGACACUGCCCUUCAUCAUUCCAUGCCGUUAGACAUUUAUAGGACCAUGCAUGGUGAUCUCCUCCAGACAAAAGUAAAUGCUGGUGCAGAACAGGAUUUGAGUUUGAUGUCAUGCAUAUAAUGUGAUCCCACUGUAUGACUACACAAAUGUUGGCAAAAGUAAGUUCAGAGGAAAUGGUAGGCAAGUACUUCCCAGUUUUGACCAGAAGAUGGAGAAAAAAAGAAUUCUCAAAAAAUGUUAAAGGUGUCUACGGAGAAAUAGACAAGCGAUGCACGACAGAUACAUGUGUCAGUCUGGUCCCUGCAGUUGUAUUUGUAAUAAUACACAUUGGAGCAAUUUCAUGGCCAUCGGUUAGAGAAUGUUUGAGGAAUGAUCCAUUCAUAUCAAGAAGGACAUUUCAAAGAUCAAAACCUGAUGGAAAUGCUGGAGACCAUGGCGCUGAUAGGAGCUCAUGCGUGUUGACCAAUUACUACAUGACAGGCAUUGUCUCCACGCUUUUCCUGCACUGCUCAUUUAAACACUGGACAACCUAAGUGUUCUGAUUUAGCCCAUUGGACAGAUAGAAAUGGAGGCACAGAAGAUUAAUGUGUUUAACUUCAAACCCUGGCAGAUUAGGUUUUUCAUCCAGAGCCUGUGGCUUCACCAUAGGUGUGAUUCACGUUCUGUCAUUCUCCACUUUAGGAAUUUCCAGUAUUCCAAAUAUGAGAAGCUGAGUAAACAAACAACAAACUCAAAACCCUAAAAACCAGGAUACGUAAGGGUAGAUGUUUGUUGGGUGUGGAUUAAAAAUGGACUUUUUUUGCCCCAAGCAACAAAGAGGCACCUUAGAAAAUAGACAAGAGACAAGAGGAAGAGAAGCUUUAAGAGAUAUUUGGUCCAAGGAGGAGACUCUUCAGAUGGAAGGUCACAUCAGCUAGAAACAUUAAUAUGACUGGAUGGGCUCAAACCACUGACUUUUCAGUCAACAUCCAACAGCACUAACCCAGUGUUCCAGAGACACUGCUUGUUAAACAGUGAAAGCUGUUGCUCAAUUGUGUCAUCCAUAAUUGUCAAAUAUUGCCAUUUAGUAGCACAAGGAAGUAUUCUCCGUUGCCAAGCUAGAGUACCCAUAACUCUUCUGUUUUGUUGAACAUUCUUCCCCACCACAAACCCUCUUUAGAAGACUGGGGGCUCCUAAAGCAUUGAGGCCGAGAGUCCCGUCCUUGUGCAUGUUUGGGCAUUGACCCAGGGCCAAGUCAGUGGGAGACUCCUCCACACCUACGCCAGGUCCCCAGGUGACAACUGCAGUCUCUGGAUCUGAAGUCAUCCACGUUCCCAUUCCUAGCUCACCUCACCCAUCGUGAAGCCUGGUUAGUAUUGCCAGAGACCCGAGUGGGCAGAUGCCCACACCAAAGACAGAACCUGCUGCGUGCCCACCUUGCUGAUCCCUCCCUCCUUCUAGACAAAGGCUUCAUAAGCCAGGGACCUUGGGUUUGCUCACAAGGCAGCCCCUCACCUAGUAGGCAUUAGUUCAUUAUGUAUAUGUAUAUGUAGUCCUCAGGUUGUAUUCCUUAAAUAUAUAUAAUUUAAGGAUAUGUAUUAUAUAUAUAUAAAUAUAUAUGUAAUUCCUUAAAUAUAUAAUUUUAAUACAAUUUUUUUUUGAGAUGGAGUCUCACUCUGUCUCCCAGGCUGGAGUGCAGUGGCACCAUCUUGGCUCACUGCAAGCUCCACCUCCCAGGUUCACGCCAUUCUCCUGCCUCAGCCUCCCAAGUAUCUGGGACUACAGGCGCCCGCCACCACGCCAGGCUAAUUUUUUUUUUUUUUUUGUAUUUUUAGUAGAGAUGGGGUUUCACCAUGUUAGCCAGGAUGGUCUCAAUCUUCUGACCUCAUGAUCCACCCACCUCGGCCUCUCAAAGUGCUAGGAUUACAGGCGUGGACCACCGCGCCUGGCCAAAACAAAGUUUUUAAAAGAUUCCUUUAAUAAACAUUUACAAUAACAUCAAGAAAUAUAAACGACCUAGCAAAUAUGUGAAAGCCAGCCAGACUCUCAAUGGCAUCCAGAAAUAUAAACGACAUAGAAAAGACAUGAAAGCCAGCCAGGCAUGGCUUCAAAUCCCAGCACUUUGGAAGGCUGUGGCAGGAGGGUUGCUUGAUCUCAGAAGCUUGAAACUAGCCUAGGCAACAUAGUGAGCCCUCAUCUCUACUGAAAAUCAGAAAAAUUAUCCGGGUUUGGUGGUGUGAGCCUGUAGUCCCAGGAAUCAGUGGAUGAGGCCCUAGGAUGUCAUAGGCCUGAGAAUUCCAUGCUGCAAUGAGCUGUGAUUGUGCCACUGUACUCCAGCCUGGGUGAAAGAGUGAGAUCCUGUGCAGAAACAAAAGAAGAAAAAAAGAGAUGUGAAAGCCUAUAUAUUGAAGACUACCAAGUACUGCUUAGAGCAGUUAAAGACCUUUGGAAUAGAAAAUGUUUCUUCUUGCAUUUCAAGAUUGCUUUUGUUUUGGGGGGACACACUAUUUUUUAGGAAUAUGAAGUUCUUCUCAGGCAUUCCUGUAAAAAAGGCCACUUUUUGAUAGGAUUGUAUUGAAUCUGUGGGUUGCUUUGAGUUGUAUUUUUGUCUUAACCAUGUUACAACUUCCAACCCAUGGACACAAGAUGUCUGUCCAUUGAUUUAGGUCUUCCUGAAUCUCCUCGAGCAAUGCUCUGUAGUUGUCUGUGUACAAGUACUGCACCUUCUUGAACAAAUUUAUUCCCAGGCACAUUAUUCUUACCAGUGCUAUUAUAAAUGAAAUCAUUGUGUCAAUUUU
This is a long non-coding RNA of Pan troglodytes (chimpanzee), 7156 nucleotides long. RefSeq lists it as uncharacterized. The record is from RefSeq and is a predicted model, not a curated record. The transcript has 5 exons. NCBI's taxonomy places the organism in Eukaryota, Metazoa, Chordata, Mammalia, Primates, Hominidae.